UACGUAGGGUGCAAGCGUUAAUCGGAAUUACUGGGCGUAAAGGGUGCGCAGGCGGCUGUGCAAGACAGAUGUGAAAUCCCCGGGCUUAACCUGGGAACUGCAUUUGUGACUGCACGGCUAGAGUUUGUCAGAGGAGGGUGGAAUUCCGCGUGUAGCAGUGAAAUGCGUAGAUAUGCGGAAGAACACCAAUGGCGAAGGCAGCCCUCUGGGACAUGACUGACGCUCAUGCACGAAAGCGUGGGGAGCAAACAGGAUUAGAUACCCUGGUAGUCCACGCCCUAAACGAUGUCAGCUGAUUGUUCGGGAAGCAAUUCCUGGGUAACCAAGCCAACGCGUGAAGCUGACCGCCUGGGAAGUACGGUCGCAAGAUUAAA
RNAcentral lists this ribosomal RNA (374 nucleotides) under uncultured bacterium. Its description in RNAcentral is "bacterial SSU rRNA". It matches the Rfam family "Bacterial small subunit ribosomal RNA", at positions 524 to 898 of the family's 1533-position model. The record is from RNAcentral.